Molecule: transfer RNA, 73 nt
Filed under: Agrilus planipennis (emerald ash borer)
Lineage: Eukaryota; Metazoa; Arthropoda; Insecta; Coleoptera; Buprestidae
Rfam family: tRNA
About the family: Transfer RNA (tRNA) molecules are approximately 80 nucleotides in length.
Source: Rfam by way of RNAcentral
UCUCUCGUAGCUUAGUGAUCAAAGCGUCGGUUCGUAAAGCCAAAGGUCCCGGGUUCGAUUCCCGGCGGGGGUG